ACACAGGCGGUUCACAUAACAAACCGCCUUCUUCCUCCUCGGGCAGAACUGUAGGUAGCAGCUACAUUCCAUUGGAGCACAUCUUGGAGGUCCAGUUUUUCCAAAAUACAAGGGGGGAGGUUUUGAUCUUUAUUUCUUGGAAGGAGGUGGCUAAGAAAGGUUAAUGCCUCUUUUUGUGCCCUCUUGCUCAAUUUGAGCUACUUUUUGGAUCUAGGGUUUCACCAUGAGAGAGAGAGUAGAAUAGCUAGGUAUGGUCUAUUUUGCUCAAAUAAAGUUGCUUAUGAUGGAUAUAUGAUGUCUCUCCUAUCUUGUUUUUUAUGUUUACUUCUCUAAUUUGUGAAUCCAAGAAAUAUAUUUGUAGUAGUUUCCAUGAAUGGUGUUUCCAUGCUUGGGAGAGAAAGAUAAGUUUUCUUUUUAGUUUUUUAAAUUAUAUGGUUUAGGAUGUUAUUUUUUAUGUAAAUUUGAUUUAAUUAUGCGAUAAGGAUUUUUUAUAUAUAAGGUUGCUUCAGAUGUUGCCUCUCCUCUCACCAUUUCCAUGUUUCCUUCUCAAAUUUUUUAGUGAUAUAAUAUAUUUAGUUUCAAUCAACAGUGUUUUUGUACCUUCUCAAAUUUAUUUUAGUGAUAUAAAGAUAUAUAUUUACGGUUUUGUCUUUAUUUUUGAUACUUGUUUUACUUUUUCAAUUUGAUUUAAUUGUUAGGUGUUCUUUUAUUUUUGAUGACAGAUAUUCGUAGACAAUAUUUCAAUUAAUUUACUAACUUUUCAACAGGUCAAAAUACAAGGUUUGAGGUUUUGAUCUUCAUUUCUUGGAAGGAGGUGGAGGUGGCUAAGAAAGGUAAAUUUUCUUUUUAGUUUUUAAAAUUAUAUUGUUUAGGAUGUUAUUUUUAUGUAAAUUUGAUUUAAUUAUGCGAUAAGCAUUUUUUAUAUAUGAGGUAGCUUCAGAUGUUGCCUCUCCUCUCACCAUUUCCAUGUUUCCUUCUCAAAUUUUUUAGUGAUAUAAUAUAUUUAGUUUCAAUCAACAGUGUUUUUGUACCUUGUCAAAUUUAUUUUAGUGAUAUAAAGAUACUUAUUUAUGGUUUUGUCUUUAUUUUUGAUACUUGUUUUACUUUUUCAAUUUGAUUUAAUUGUUAGGUGUUCUUUUAUUUUUGAUGACAGAUAUUCGUAGACAAUAUUUCAAUUAAUUUACUAACUUUUCAACAGGUCAAAAUACAAGGUUUGAGGUUUUGAUCUUCAUUUCAUGGAAGGAGGUGGAGGUGGCUAAGAAAGGUAAGUUUUCUUUUUAGUUUUUUAAAUUAUAUUGGUUAGGAUGUUAUUUUUUAUGUAAAUUUGAUUUAAUUACGCGAUAAGCAUUUUUGUGCCCUCUUGUUAAAAGAUGUUGCCUCUCCUCUCACCAUUUCCAUGAUUCCUUUUUCAAUUUGAUUUAAUUGUUAGGUCUUCUUUUAUUUUUAAUAACAAAUAUUCGUAGACAAUAUUUCAAUUAAUUUACUAACUUUUCAACAGGUCAUGAUGGAGAGGUCCUUAUGGAUGUAUAACUUAUCAAGACUAGAUCCAUCAUAUAUACCUGAGGUGCAUAGGUUUGUUGAUGCCGCUAAGAACCAUGCUUUGAGAACAAAGACGAAGCAUAUAUAUUGUCCAUGCUACGACUACAGAAAUAUUCUUCUAUUUGAAGAUACUGAAGUAAUCAUUUCUCAUCUAGUCUGUCGAGGAUUUAUGAAGUAUUACUUGAUUUGGACAAAGUAUGGAGAGCGUAGCUCAGCGCCAUAUACAGUUGGGGACCCAGCACACAUCGACACCGAUGGUCCAGGCAUGCCUGCUGAUCAGUUUUUCCACGACACACCCUAGAGUGAACAUGUUGUGCCAAAUGUUACCGCUGGUGGAUCUGCUGGGGGAAAUGAUGGUGCAAGAACUCAUGUCUUACCAAAUGAUACGGCUGCAGAAGAUGCUGAAUUCUUGGAGGCAAUGUUGCAUCGUCAUACUGAACCAUCAAUGUUAUUAAUGAAUGCGAUGGAGGCCUUGAAGAAGGCAGCAGAAGAGCCUUUGUAUGAUGAGUCUAAAGGUUGUACCAAAGAGUACACAACGUUACGAGCUAUGCUAAAACUGUUGAUGGCAAAAGCCAGGUAUGGUUUGUCCGAUGCUAGAUUCGACGCGUUCUUAAGUAUUAUCGGCGAUAUGCUUCCAAAGGAGAACAAAGUUCCUGCUAACACAUACUAUGCAAAGAAGCUGAUCAGUCCGCUGACUAUGGGUGU
This 2244-nucleotide long non-coding RNA is filed under the name Sorghum bicolor (sorghum). RNAcentral describes it as "long non-coding RNA (SBIC_LNC008562)". The record is from RNAcentral. Lineage: Eukaryota; Viridiplantae; Streptophyta; Magnoliopsida; Poales; Poaceae.